UAGGUACUCAACACCCAAUACGCUCUGGGA
This 30-nucleotide non-coding RNA is filed under the name Rattus norvegicus (Norway rat). Lineage: Eukaryota; Metazoa; Chordata; Mammalia; Rodentia; Muridae. The record is from RNAcentral.